Microcebus murinus (gray mouse lemur) is the source of this 895-nucleotide non-coding RNA. The record is from RefSeq and is a predicted model, not a curated record. NCBI's taxonomy places the organism in Eukaryota, Metazoa, Chordata, Mammalia, Primates, Cheirogaleidae.
ACAACAGCCCCUCAGUAAGUGGUGGAGGGGGAGGCACACCCAGAGCUGCGUGCCUGAGGGCCCAGCAGGACAGACGCCCAGAUGCGGGGCACAGCAUGAAGGACUGGCCUUGCUUCGUCCUCUCCUGCUCAGCCCAGCCAGGACGGUUGGGGGUGCGAGUGAGGGAGACCCCUCCAGGCGCUGCCACAGUGCAGGUGGGCAAGGUGCCCUGAGGGCAGAACCUCUUCUCAACUCAAGCCUUACCCGGCCACGCAGUGUGGACGGCUGGUUUUUAGUAUAUGAGAAAACCAGGUGUAGUGGCUUGAACAGUGUCCCCUAAAGUCCGUGUCCACUCUGAGCCUCAAAGUGUGACCUUAUAUGGGAAAAGGGUCUCUACAAAGGUAAUCGAUCAUCCCAGAUUUAGAGUGGGCCCAAACUCUAACUAGACUUAUGUCCCUGUAAGAGCAGGAGAGGACAGAGACCCAGAGCGGGAAGCAGGGAGGGGGUGAUAUGAGGCCGAGCAAUACCAGGAGCCCCCAGAAGCUGGAAGAGGCGAGGAAGGAUCUUCCCCGAGAGCCUCUGGAAAGAGUGUGGCCCUGCCACCACCUCGGUUUUGGACUUCAGCUUCCAGGACUAACCCAACAUCAGCAGAGAAUAUUGGCACGUUCAAGGCAUACAGAAGUCACUGUGGAAGGGAAUCUGAGCAGGGAGCUAGAAAGAACAGCUGAGUUGUUCCUCCCUCUUUUUGGCCGAGCCCCCUCCAGCUUCUGGCCAGCAGCCUAGAAGAGCAGAAAGGAAUCAGCAGUGCUUGCUGGACACCUCCACAGUGCCCAGAAAAUCCCCGGGAGGACCAGAGCUCACUGGUCCCAGUCAGAAAUAAAGUCUCCCAGACCGGAUCCAACGGUCUCACUUUCUA